Molecule: ribosomal RNA, 1692 nt
Filed under: Escherichia coli
Lineage: Bacteria; Pseudomonadati; Pseudomonadota; Gammaproteobacteria; Enterobacterales; Enterobacteriaceae
Description: partial 23S ribosomal RNA
Rfam family: Bacterial large subunit ribosomal RNA
Source: RNAcentral
GGGUUGUGAGGUUAAGCGACUAAGCGUACACGGUGGAUGCCCUGGCAGUCAGAGGCGAUGAAGGACGUGCUAAUCUGCGAUAAGCGUCGGUGAGGUGAUAUGAACCGUUAUAACCGGCGAUUUCCGAAUGGGGAAACCCAGUGUGUUUCGACACACUAUCAUUAACUGAAUCCAUAGGUUAAUGAGGCGAACCGGGGGAACUGAAACAUCUAAGUACCCCGAGGAAAAGAAAUCAACCGAGAUUCCCCCAGUAGCGGCGAGCGAACGGGGAGGAGCCCAGAGCCUGAAUCAGUGUGUGUGUUAGUGGAAGCGUCUGGAAAGGCGUGCGAUACAGGGUGACAGCCCCGUACACAAAAAUGCACAUAUUGUGAGCUCGAUGAGUAGGGCGGGACACGUGGUAUCCUGUCUGAAUAUGGGGGGACCAUCCUCCAAGGCUAAAUACUCCUGACUGACCGAUAGUGAACCAGUACCGUGAGGGAAAGGCGAAAAGAACCCCGGCGAGGGGAGUGAAAAAGAACCUGAAACCGUGUACGUACAAGCAGUGGGAGCCUCUUUAUGGGGUGACUGCGUACCUUUUGUAUAAUGGGUCAGCGACUUAUAUUCUGUAGCAAGGUUAACCGAAUAGGGGAGCCGAAGGGAAACCGAGUCUUAACUGGGCGUUAAGUUGCAGGGUAUAGACCCGAAACCCGGUGAUCUAGCCAUGGGCAGGUUGAAGGUUGGGUAACACUAACUGGAGGACCGAACCGACUAAUGUUGAAAAAUUAGCGGAUGACUUGUGGCUGGGGGUGAAAGGCCAAUCAAACCGGGAGAUAGCUGGUUCUCCCCGAAAGCUAUUUAGGUAGCGCCUCGUGAAUUCAUCUCCGGGGGUAGAGCACUGUUUCGGCAAGGGGGUCAUCCCGACUUACCAACCCGAUGCAAACUGCGAAUACCGGAGAAUGUUAUCACGGGAGACACACGGCGGGUGCUAACGUCCGUCGUGAAGAGGGAAACAACCCAGACCGCCAGCUAAGGUCCCAAAGUCAUGGUUAAGUGGGAAACGAUGUGGGAAGGCCCAGACAGCCAGGAUGUUGGCUUAGAAGCAGCCAUCAUUUAAAGAAAGCGUAAUAGCUCACUGGUCGAGUCGGCCUGCGCGGAAGAUGUAACGGGGCUAAACCAUGCACCGAAGCUGCGGCAGCGACACUAUGUGUUGUUGGGUAGGGGAGCGUUCUGUAAGCCUGUGAAGGUGGCCUGUGAGGGUUGCUGGAGGUAUCAGAAGUGCGAAUGCUGACAUAAGUAACGAUAAAGCGGGUGAAAAGCCCGCUCGCCGGAAGACCAAGGGUUCCUGUCCAACGUUAAUCGGGGCAGGGUGAGUCGACCCCUAAGGCGAGGCCGAAAGGCGUAGUCGAUGGGAAACAGGUUAAUAUUCCUGUACUUGGUGUUACUGCGAAGGGGGGACGGAGAAGGCUAUGUUGGCCGGGCGACGGUUGUCCCGGUUUAAGCGUGUAGGCUGGUUUUCCAGGCAAAUCCGGAAAACCAAGGCUGAGGCGUGAUGACGAGGCACUACGGUGCUGAAGCGACAAAUGCCCUGCUUCCAGGAAAAGCCUCUAAGCAUCAGGUAACAUCAAAUCGUACCCCAAACCGACACAGGUGGUCAGGUAGAGAAUACCAAGGCGCUUGAGAGAACUCGGGUGAAGGAACUAGGCAAAAUGGUGC